This 254-nucleotide ribosomal RNA is filed under the name uncultured bacterium. Its description in RNAcentral is "partial 16S ribosomal RNA". It matches the Rfam family "Bacterial small subunit ribosomal RNA", at positions 524 to 776 of the family's 1533-position model. The record is from RNAcentral.
GACGAACCGUGCGAACGUUAUUCGGAAUCACUGGGCUUAAAGCGCGUGUAGGCGGGUCGGCGCGUCGGACGCUGAAAUCCCCCGGCUCAACCGGGGAAGUGGGGCCGAUACGGCCGGCCUGGAGGGACGUAGGGGGGGCUGGAACUUCCGGUGGAGCGGUGAAAUGCGUUGAGAUCGGAAGGAACGCCCGUGGCGAAAGCGAGCCCCUGGACGUCUACUGACGCUGAGACGCGAAAGCCAGGGGAGCGAACGGG